Molecule: unclassified non-coding RNA, 223 nt
Filed under: Hevea brasiliensis (rubber tree)
Lineage: Eukaryota; Viridiplantae; Streptophyta; Magnoliopsida; Malpighiales; Euphorbiaceae
Source: RNAcentral
CGAUCGCUCUUCUCGAAACGUGAGCGCUCCGUUUCCGCGACAAACUGUCCGGUCCACCUUAGUAGGCUUGCAGGCGUUGCACUGGUUCCUGCACGAUGACAUGAUCCGGCAAAAUCAAAAACGCGUUUCGCACAGCGAAAGCAAUUGGGGAGGGUUUUUCAUGACGCGGCAUAUCAAUGCGGUUGCGGCAAUCGUUCUUGCAGGCACGACGAUUUCGCCCGUG